Molecule: unclassified non-coding RNA, 285 nt
Filed under: Ascomycota sp.
Lineage: Eukaryota; Fungi; Ascomycota
Description: partial contains small subunit ribosomal RNA, internal transcribed spacer 1, and 5.8S ribosomal RNA
Rfam family: Eukaryotic small subunit ribosomal RNA (bases 1-47)
Source: RNAcentral
AAAGUCGUAACAAGGUUUCCGUAGGUGAACCUGCGGAAGGAUCAUUACAGAGUUGAGGUGUCUCUCCGGCGAGGUCCUUCGGGGCACGAGCCGGGGGGGCAUGCUCCUCACCACCCGUGUUUACCGUACCUGUUGCUUCGGCGGGCCCGCCGCCUGUCGGCCGCCGGGGGACGACCGUCCCCGGGCCCGUGCCCGCCGAAGACCCCUCGAACGCUGCCUGAAGGUUGCUGUCUGAGUGAAUGAAAUAAACAAACAAAACUUUCAACAACGGAUCUCUUGGUUCCG